Molecule: long non-coding RNA, 1744 nt
Organism: Brienomyrus brachyistius
Lineage: Eukaryota; Metazoa; Chordata; Actinopteri; Osteoglossiformes; Mormyridae
Exons: 4
Source: RefSeq, a predicted model, not a curated record
AGUUUGCAUGUUCUCCCCAUGUCGUCGUGGGGUUUCCCCCCACAGUCCAAAAACAUGCUGAGGCUAACUGGAGUUGCUAAAUUGCCCGUAGGAGUGCAUGUGUGAGUGAAUGGUGUGUGAGUGUGCCCUGUGAUGGGCUGGCCCCCCAUCCUGGGUUGUUCCCUGCCUCGUGCCCAUUGCUUCCGGGAUAGGCUCCGGACCCCCCGCGACCCAGUCGGAUAAGCGGUUUGGAAAAUGGAUGGAUGGAUGGAUGGAUAUUUUUAUUGUUGAUUCCUAUGUUGUCCCAACAUGGCUGCCUCCCACAAGCUGUGACCCAAUGGCCUCCUUACCUAGGGAUUCUGGUACCAAGGACAUACUUUUCAUUCCCAUCUGGAUUCCUGGGCAUUUUGUACUUUGUGUUUUGAAGCCGACACAGAGAGAGAUAUUUUUCCUUGACUCCAUGUACCAUAAAAAAAGAUUUGGAUUUUCUGCUGUCCAGUACAUGGAACUGUUGAGGUUAAAGCUUGAGUUUAAAGGAGUUUAAGUUCCUUGGUCCAGUUCCAGGAUCAUUAAUAUGACCACGUUCUACUGGUCAUUUUCUGCAUGUAAGUUCCAAAAAACAGGUCACGUUCUUUGACCUGAUUACUAGGCUGGAUUAUAUUUGAUUUCUGCAAUGCUUGCUUGCUCCAUAUAAAACAUGAUAUGUACAUGAUUCAUGAUGUGUGACAUCAUUACCAACAAAUAUUGUGGGCAGCAGUGUCUCAUUCCAAGCACGAAAUAAAACUUUUUGUAGUUUUAUUUAAACAAUUAUGUAGUAAUUGUAAUUAUUUGUGCUAACUGCUGGUUCCUUAGACUGCUAUAACAACUUCUCAAACAGCCCCCUGCUGCACUUAGCUUUUAAUCCUCCACAUGAACUAAACUAAUUGUGCAAUUAUGUACAUGUGGCACCCAGGAGUAUUUGUUUAUAGAAAGGCAGCCCUUCAACAACGGUUCAGUUAAUUAUUUUGUUGUAUUUUGUGUUUUCAUUGUUUUUGCUGUGUGGCACACCCUCACACUGGCUUGCAUGAACAGUAACCUCUGGUGCUAUACCCUUUUUGCGCCAGAGGGGGCAGUAAUGGCGCCUGGGAGACAGAGAGACUGACUGCGAACCGUAGAAGCAGCUCAGAUCGAGCGCGAGCUACGUUCAGCAGUCAGUACGGCGCAGCCUUUAUGUUUGAUUAUUAUUUUCUGUGAUUACAGUUUACAGUGUGGAAUACCCAGUCCAGCAGAGAGCAGCUUCACUUCUGAAUCCUGUAGGUCAUUGUCACUCAUGUCCAGCUCUCUCAGAUGUGAGUGGUUUGAUCUGAGAACUGAAGCCAGCGCCUCACAGCAUUCCUCUGUGAGUUCACACCGGUUCACCUUUAGGAAAAUGAAAGACUUUUAAGAUUCAAGAUUCUUUAUUUGUGACAUGCAUAGUUUUACAGGAACAACAUGCAGUGAAAUGUAUCCUGAACUGCUCUUUGACUGUGCAACAUUAGAAUAAUUAAAUUUUAAAACCACUUUUUACAUUGGUGCACUGUAUAUUACAUCACAGUGAGCCGUUACAUUCAUCACAGAAGAGAUUCUUUUAAACAAUGAAUUUAUUGUACAGCUUUUAAGUGGCACAUUAACACUCACCUCAGUUUUGACUGGAACAUUAUAUUUUGUUAAACUCAGCAUAUUUAAAAUUGCAACACAACCAUCACUUUUCUUUGUCUAUUAGCUGCUAACCAACACAGUGCUAACC